RNAcentral lists this long non-coding RNA (4150 nucleotides) under Salvia miltiorrhiza (redroot sage). Its description in RNAcentral is "long non-coding RNA (SMIL_LNC008605)". Lineage: Eukaryota; Viridiplantae; Streptophyta; Magnoliopsida; Lamiales; Lamiaceae. The record is from RNAcentral.
GAAGAGAAGCUUGACGCGAGAGCAUAGUGUUAAUCGAAGCUUCAAGCUGUAUCUCGUGAUCAAACAACUCCUCCGUGUAGCCAGAAACCCCAAUAACAUUCUGAAGGGAGGUUAGUUGCUCAUAUAAACCAGACAAAGCAACGUUGAAAUUUCCAAAAGUCUCUUUAUUCCAAGUCUUCAAGUCUUUGCGCAGCCGCUUGAGUUUGCGCAUUACCCGCACCAUAGGGCAACGAACAUCAAUCUCCAGAGACCAGGAAUGUUUCACCAAAUCCAAAAAGCCCUCGUGAGAACACCACAUAUUCAGGAAACGAAAAUGUUUUUGAGCAUGCACCUGAGAAAACGAACAAUUGAGAAUAAUAGGUGAAUGGUCAGAACCCACCCUCGGAAGAACACGAUAACUGAUAUUAUCCCAAUAAUCAGAAAACGAAGCGGAAACGAGAACACGAUCUAAAACCGACUCCGUGGUGACAGGAAAGCGACGCCUAUCAGUCCAAGUGAAAAUAGGCCCAGCAGAUACAGGCUGAAAAAGCAUAUUAUCAUCAAUAAAAUCCCGAAACUCCCGACAAGCAAUAUUACUAGGAUUACGCCGACCCCUACGCUCAUGUGCCCCCAGUAGAGCAUUAAAGUCACCAAUGACAACAAGGCUACCAGUAGAGUAGCAUGCUAAAUCUUCCCAAAGUAAACGACGCGAGAUAUAAUUACAACUCGCAUGUACAAACGCCGCAAAGAAAGAGAACCCCGGAAUCCCAACCUCAAGCACCACUGCUUGAUCCGAGGAAAAGACAACUUUAGUGUUUACUGUCGGAGAAGCAAAAAUCCAAAUAUUGGGAGCAUGCACGCCUCUAUCAUUUUGAUGCACCGGUCGGACAUUGAUUGAAUGCCAAAAAGAAGACUGUGUACGAUUAAAAGACGUCUUGGGCUCAAAGAUUCCAACAAGUGAAGGGAAAUGAGUAACACAAUGAUUGUGUAAAAGAUUACGGGCAGUAGAAAAGCCCCUAAUAUUCCAUGCAAAGAUAUUCAUUGUAAAAACAACAUACCAUCGUCCUCAUUACGAGGAUUAUCAUCACGAUGCUCAGCCUCUUCCGCGUCCAUAAUAUCACUCCAACGUUCGCCAACCACCGCAUCCAUAAUUUGCAAAAAUGGUCGUUGGGAAGAAGUAGUAUAAGCAUGCAGCGGCAUACCAUUAGCAUUGGCUUCACGGACUAAAUUUAAAAAAGCCUUGGGCCGGGCAUUAGGUGUUUCAGCUCUGUGUUCAUCUUCAGCACGCGCAACCCGUUUUGCAUCAAUAUGGCGCCGCAAAUCCCAUUGAUCUUCAGAGGAAAACCCACGAUCAAAGCUUGUUGCGCUGCCCGUAUUACCCUCAUAAACAUUGUCAGCAGGAGGAUCUGAUCGAGAACCAGAAGCAUUAGAGUUGACCCUAGCCAAAGCUGACGAGAGCCGACUCUGAGCGUCCCUAACAGAAGCCAAAUCAGGCCCCAAUUGAUCUUGUGUAGCCAAAGGAAAACCCACUCCAGGUGAUUGAACUAAAACCUGAGAGGGAGAAUUGCGCCCGACAUCUGUUUGAUGAAAUUCCCCAACUGUAGAGAGCAAUUGAACCUGCCCCUUAGCCAAAACCGAGCAACCAUCUUUGGCCGUGGGUGUAAUGGUAAUAGCUAAAUUGCCGUCCGUUUGAUCCUGAGGUAAGCUGUUUUCCCUGGCCGAGGGAGAGAAAUCCACCCCAGUCUUUUGAACAACUUGUGUAUUCCCAGCAGAAGAGUGUAACUCGGGCUGAUUCUUUGUAUUUUUAGGAGAUGAAAUACCCGUUUUAGGAGCCUUGUGCCCGACGUCGGCCUGAAGCGGUCGCUCAGUUUCCUCAUAAAUCAUCUCCGUAUCCGAUUCCUCCCCAAGAACCUCAAAACCAUUCUGACUAGUGGUGACAGGAGCAUUAGAUAUAUUAUUCCAUCGUUGGGUUUGACGCCAAUGUUUUUUACCUUGCACCGGACGAAAAUCAUCCUCUAAAACCGCAGCAGGAGGAACCGACGCAUGAGUAUCAGUAGGAACCGAAGUAGAGACCUUGUUGGGAACCGCAGUCUCCACAGAGCUGGGGUCCUUAGGCUUUCGACUACAUCUAUCCGAAGAAUGUCCGACCGUUUUACAAAUACCACAAAAAUAUGGCAUAGACUCGUAACCAAAUUCCACCUCCAAAGCCACGUUGCCACGUGCCACCGAAAGGUGAGUGGGAGUAACCUUAGAAACAUCAAUCUCGACCAGGACACGCGCGAAGUGUCCUACAGCAGCAGAAAAAGUAAGACCAUCAAGCUUAAUUGGCGUGCCAACCGAACGUGCAAUGCCCGUAAUAACUUCCGGAUGCCAACAUUCAUGCGGCAAGUAAUAAAUUCGGAGCCAAACAAGGGCAAUAGUAGAAGACUCCUUAUACGGAUCAAAAAGAGGCGUCCAAUCACGGAUGCGAAUAAGUCCAACGGAAAGCUUCCAUGAAAGUUUGGAGCGAGCAGUAAGCAUAUCCGAUUCCCUACUAAAUUGAAGCGUAAAAAACCCUUUUCCCAGAGUGACAACGCGAAACCGGCUAUCCAAACGCCACAAAGACGAGAGUUCCUUCUGAAUAUCCGAAGAAGUCCGAGGAAGACUACCUUUAGGUAAAAGUAACUUCGCAUGAAGCGCAAAACGAAGCUCAUGCAACUGUUGUUGAUAAAUAGAAUCAGGAAUAUGUAACACCAUCUUUUCCCCAGUAGUAUGCGGAUGGAGCGCACAAAAAUUUUGUGCUAAGACAUCAGGGGGUUUCGGCGAAAAAACCCUAGCCGCGGAGGCGUAAGUUCGUCGAGGGUUAGUAACAGGCUUACCCUUAAUGAUUGGUGAUUGCUCAUGAGGGGUAGAGUUCACCGGCGAAAUAGUCUUCCCAAUAUCAGAUCCAGGGAGGGUCGAUCUAGGGACCGAAGCAUCAGCAGAGAUAGCGUUCGGGACAAUAACCAAUUCACGGGAAAGGUUAGGCGGAACAGAGGAAGAGGAAGCCAUGAAAACCAUCCCCGGAGAAAACCAGGCAGAGAUAAGUCAAAAGGUAGAUUUGAGCACUGUAUCAGCAAGAUCCAACCUAUCCGAGAGCGGCGGACGUGUGGGAGCUGCGCUGCUGGUCUGGGUCGUCUUCGCCGGAAAAGUAAACGCAGCGGAGGAUCCUUGAGAAGAAGAGCAGACGAGGAGCUGCAGCUAGGCGUAAUGUCGGUCAAAGGGGGAUCCACCUUAGCCGAGAGGGACGGGCGGCAGGCUCGCGACGGCGGCGAGCAGCAGCGCGGUGGGAGAAGGUGUGAGGCGACGAGCGACGACCAGAUCCCCUUUCGACAGGCGAGGAGCGUGCAGAUCUCCUGAGCAGAUGCAGUCCGAUUGAAGGCGGCGGCCGUUGCGGGUCGAUGGAAAUGGCCGCUGAGUGCACGGAGGAGGCGCAGAUUCCUUGCGCCGGUGGCUUAAUGGCUCACGGAGACGCGCUGGGUCUCAGCUACAGCAGCUUUUUCCUCUAUGCUACAGUAGCAUAAUUCUCUCAGCUACAGUAGCUUUUUCUCUCAUCCGAGUCAUCUCCCACUCACCAAUGCCAAAACAAAAAUCUCAAGAUGUAUGAGUUCUUACUAAGCAAUAAAGUUGAGAUACUAAAGAUUCUUCUCAAUGGAAAAGUACUUAAUUUCAAUGUUUGAUUAACAUUUUGUAAUAUAUAUAUAGGGGGCCGUUCCAAUGAGAUCCCCUAAUUUUAGUGAGAUCUAGGGCACGAUCUGGUGGAUUUAUUUUAUCAAUUCUAUGGCUGAUAUUGUAUCUGAAGGGUGAUUUUUUUUCGCAGGGUUCGAAUCCUGGAGGUAGCUGAAUAUUUUAAAUUUUGUUAUUCAUCAGUAUAUACUGCAUUGUUCAUCAGUAUAUACGACCCUGUUCAUCAGUAUAUAUGUCUUAUUCAUUACGAAUUUUUUUANAAACCCCAAUAACAUUCUGAAGGGAGGUUAGUUGCUCAUAUAAACCAGACAAAGCAACGUUGAAAUUUCCAAAAGUCUCUUUAUUCCAAGUCUUCAAGUCUUUGCGCAGCCGCUUGAGUUUGCGCAUUACCCGCACCAUAGGGCAACGAACAUCAAUCUCCAGAGACCAGGAAUGUUUCACCAAAUCCAAAAAGCCCUCGUGAGAA